RNAcentral lists this ribosomal RNA (386 nucleotides) under uncultured bacterium. RNAcentral's name for it is "bacterial SSU rRNA". It matches the Rfam family "Bacterial small subunit ribosomal RNA", at positions 30 to 416 of the family's 1533-position model. The record is from RNAcentral.
AUUGAACGCUGGCGGCAUGCCUUACACAUGCAAGUCGAACGGCAGCACGGGAGCAAUCCUGGUGGCGAGUGGCGAACGGGUGAGUAAUAUAUCGGAACGUGCCCAGUCGUGGGGGAUAACGUAGCGAAAGCUACGCUAAUACCGCAUACGAUCUAUGGAUGAAAGCGGGGGAUCGCAAGACCUCGCGCGAUUGGAACGGCCGAUAUCAGAUUAGGUAGUUGGUGGGGUAAAAGCCUACCAAGCCUUCGAUCUGUAGCUGGUCUGAGAGGACGACCAGCCACACUGGAACUGAGACACGGUCCAGACUCCUACGGGAGGCAGCAGUGGGGAAUUUUGGACAAUGGGCGCAAGCCUGAUCCAGCAAUGCCGCGUGCAGGAUGAAGGCC